RNAcentral lists this microRNA precursor (73 nucleotides) under Myotis brandtii (Brandt's bat). RNAcentral describes it as "mir-9193 microRNA precursor family". It matches the Rfam family "mir-9193 microRNA precursor family". Lineage: Eukaryota; Metazoa; Chordata; Mammalia; Chiroptera; Vespertilionidae. The record is from Rfam by way of RNAcentral.
CUUGGGGUGGGGGGAGCCUCAGCCCAGAUUGUGAGAGGGAGAAGGCCAGGCUGAGGGACCCCACCGGUGCACG